ACAGCAAUUCGUUCUGUCGCUGUGUUGAUACGUGCAACACAGAGGAAAGUCCGGACAACAUAGAGCACCAUACUUCCUAACGGGAAGGACUUAUUUUGUAAAAAGUAAGUACAGAUAGUGCCACAGAAAAUAACCGCCUUUUGCAAAAAAGGUAAGGGUGAAAACGGGAGGUAAGAGCUUCCGCUGCAAGUGGGUAACUGCUUGUUGGGGUAAACCUUAUGGGUUGAAAGACCAUGUAAACCGAGGCUUGAGGGCUGCUCGUCCAAUCUCGGAGGGUAGGUCGAUAGAGGUGUUUAGUGAUAAACAUCCCAGAUAAAUGACAGAAAUGUUGAGCUAUCAACAUACAGAAUCCGGCUUAUAGAAUUGCUGUUUUU
This 374-nucleotide RNase P RNA is filed under the name Bacteroidales bacterium. RNAcentral's name for it is "RNase P RNA component class A". It matches the Rfam family "Bacterial RNase P class A". Rfam says of the family: Ribonuclease P (RNase P) is a ubiquitous endoribonuclease, found in archaea, bacteria and eukarya as well as chloroplasts and mitochondria. Its best characterised activity is the generation of mature 5'-ends of tRNAs by cleaving the 5'-leader elements of precursor-tRNAs. The record is from RNAcentral. Lineage: Bacteria; Pseudomonadati; Bacteroidota; Bacteroidia; Bacteroidales.